AACGAACGCUGGCGGCAUGCCUAACACAUGCAAGUCGAACGAGACCUUCGGGUCUAGUGGCGCACGGGUGCGUAACGCGUGGGAAUCUGCCCUUGGGUUCGGAAUAACAGUUAGAAAUGACUGCUAAUACCGGAUAAUGUCUUCGGACCAAAGAUUUAUCGCCCAGGGAUGAGCCCGCGUAGGAUUAGCUAGUUGGUGAGGUAAAGGCUCACCAAGGCGACGAUCCUUAGCUGGUCUGAGAGGAUGAUCAGCCACACUGGGACUGAGACACGGCCCAGACUCCUACGGAGGCAGCAGUGGGGAAUAUUGGACAAUGGGCGAAAGCCUGAUCCAGCAAUGCCGCGUGAGUGAUGAAGGCCUUAGGGUUGUAAAGCUCUUUACCCGGGAUGAUAAUGACAGUACCGGGAGAAUAAGCCCCGGCUAACUCCGUGCCAGCAGCCGCGGUAAU
RNAcentral lists this ribosomal RNA (448 nucleotides) under uncultured bacterium. RNAcentral describes it as "bacterial SSU rRNA". It matches the Rfam family "Bacterial small subunit ribosomal RNA", at positions 29 to 524 of the family's 1533-position model. The record is from RNAcentral.